This 371-nucleotide ribosomal RNA is filed under the name Clostridium butyricum. Its description in RNAcentral is "bacterial SSU rRNA". It matches the Rfam family "Bacterial small subunit ribosomal RNA", at positions 800 to 1171 of the family's 1533-position model. Lineage: Bacteria; Bacillati; Bacillota; Clostridia; Eubacteriales; Clostridiaceae. The record is from RNAcentral.
CCGUAAACGAUGAAUACUAGGUGUAGGGGUUGUCAUGACCUCUGUGCCGCCGCUAACGCAUUAAGUAUUCCGCCUGGGGAGUACGGUCGCAAGAUUAAAACUCAAAGGAAUUGACGGGGGCCCGCACAAGCAGCGGAGCAUGUGGUUUAAUUCGAAGCAACGCGAAGAACCUUACCUAGACUUGACAUCUCCUGAAUUACUCUGUAAUGGAGGAAGCCACUUCGGUGGCAGGAAGACAGGUGGUGCAUGGUUGUCGUCAGCUCGUGUCGUGAGAUGUUGGGUUAAGUCCCGCAACGAGCGCAACCCUUAUUGUUAGUUGCUACCAUUUAGUUGAGCACUCUAGCGAGACUGCCCGGGUUAACCGGGAGGAA